UACGGAGGAUCCAAGCGUUAUCCGGAAUCAUUGGGUUUAAAGGGUCCGUAGGCGGUUUUGUAAGUCAGUGGUGAAAGCCCAUCGCUCAACGGUGGAACGGCCAUUGAUACUGCAAGACUUGAAUUAUUAGGAAGUAACUAGAAUAUGUAGUGUAGCGGUGAAAUGCUUAGAGAUUACAUGGAAUACCAAUUGCGAAGGCAGGUUACUACGAGUGGAUUGACGCUGAUGGACGAAAGCGUGGGGAGCGAACAGG
RNAcentral lists this ribosomal RNA (253 nucleotides) under uncultured bacterium. RNAcentral describes it as "partial 16S ribosomal RNA". It matches the Rfam family "Bacterial small subunit ribosomal RNA", at positions 524 to 776 of the family's 1533-position model. The record is from RNAcentral.